GGGUCAGUAGGUUGGUCGUGCCACCGGUACGUACUGGUCUCACUGAUUCCUCCUUCCUGAAGAACCGUAAUGCCAUUAUUUUGGUGUUGCGGGGAAACAGGACUGUCACUUUGAAAAAAUUAGAGUGUUUAAAGCAAGCUAACGCUUGAAUACAUUAGCAUGGAAUAAUGAAAUAGGACGAUCGAUCCUAUUUUGUUGGUUUCUAGGAUUGACGUA
This 216-nucleotide ribosomal RNA is filed under the name Glomeromycotina sp. Its description in RNAcentral is "partial small subunit ribosomal RNA". The stretch from base 40 to 216 matches the Rfam family "Eukaryotic small subunit ribosomal RNA", at positions 686 to 864 of the family's 1831-position model. The record is from RNAcentral. Lineage: Eukaryota; Fungi; Glomeromycota.